UCUCUCUCUCAAACAUAAACAUUAAAAAAAAAACAGAUCUGAGCUGAGAUCAAGAGUUGAACAUUCAACCUGUUGAACUACCCAGGUGCCCCGUGCCAGGCACUUUUACAGACCUUUCCUUGUACUGUCUCACUCCUCCUCAGGUCAGUGCUGCUAUCCCCAGGUUUCAAAUCUGCAAAGCGAGGCAUGAAGAGAUUCAGUUGAUAAGGGUCUUCAUCUGAUGCUCAGAGCUGGCAUCCACACCCAGGCUGUCUCCUGCUUCCCUGAGGGUAUUUCUUUCUCCUGGGGAGAGGUGCAACAGGAAAUCUGAGAUCAGAGACUCUAGACCACCUGGGCUGAGUCCUGGGCUCUGGACUCUUCCUCUGUCUCCUCUGCGGGCCUGCGUGGGGACAGAGUUCAUAGGGGUUCCCUCUGCCAACGCACACUCUUUAUGGAUGACAUUCUGACUCCUCACUUGCAGGGGUGGUUCCUGCCCUCCUGCUGGGCUCAGGGGUUCUGGCCUUCAGCAGGAGGGAUUGAGGCGCUGAGGAGGUAAGUAACUCAUCCACACUCCUGCAGCUCAGACCUGGUUGCAGUGAGCUGCUUCUUUGUGCUGACUGUUUUCAACACGUUGCAUUAGGUUUGUUUUUCUGUUGAGUACAGCAGAACUGUGACCCAAAGUACUUCAGAAUAAUUUUUGUCCCUGGUCGAAGCCACACCACUGUCCCAUGCAGUUCCAGCCCUGGUUUGAAGGGCAAUGUUGUUCACUACCUAACGUCUGACCUUAGGCUCUCAGUCACCCCUCAGAUGUGUGGACAUGGCUUCCGAAAAUAAGGGAAGGCGUGUUUUUGUUGAUUUUACCAACCCACUCUGUUGAGGCAUUGAGGUUCAUUUCCUCUGUCCUAGGCCAGCAACAUCCUCAAGUGCGCUGUAGAAGCUGCCUUCGUGGCCAAGCCUGUGUGGUGGGUGCCUGCUCAGGCCACCAUGUUGUGGACACGCUUUGCCCCAAACAUUCCCAUCCUGACCUGCAAAGAGUGUGCCAGGUGGAAGAGGGAGCGGCCAGAACAUACAGAUUCUCCCUACCCCAAGACUGAGUGUGGUCAGUGAGGGGCUGGGGAGACAGUGUCCCUGACGUGCUGGGGCCUAGAGGUCUCUCACCCUGUCUAUGGCUCAGUCAGGCCCUGGGGACCUGAGGACCCUCUGCAAAUUGGAGCUUUGCAGUCAGAAAGUCUGGUGGAAAGCAGAUGAUAGCAUUAGGAUGGCAGGGACAAAGGUCCACCUCACUGUGCUGGCCCACAAAGCGCUCAGUGCUGCCCAGGAAGGGCCUCGUGGAUGGCGGGCACAGGCCCUUGUGGUGUUGCGAGGUUUCACAGGUGGUUUUCAUUUAGGAUGAAGGUGUUUCAUUCAUGCAGUCUGUGCCCUGUACCACUUUAUCCCCAAGAGCACAGCACCGAGAACGAGUCCUGGGUCUCCUCUCCAGCUUUGCCUUCACAUCAGCAGGUUGGGCUGGGUCAGGAAGACCACGUGUGGCGGUCCCUGAGGCUUUCCUGAGGCGUGAUCACACCCCUGCUCUUAGGUUGGCGUUUGAUGUGGCCCCAGUGCUCCCUCCUGAGCGGUGCAUGUCUGGCACCAUCCAGCUGUGUCGUCCUGUUCUGGGGUCUGCGUGAAACAGUGGCCUUCCCCAGGAGGAGUGGGCCUUUGUCAGAGCACUUCAGGCCCAAGGUCUGUAGGUGCUGUGGGGCCAUCUGUGCUGUGUGGAUGAGGUGGUGUGACCUGCCAGGUUAAGGGACUCAUGCACCAAGUUAAGGGUGCUGCUGGGCACUGGGUCCCUGCUGCAUGCCCUCUGUGGGUGUCUGCCUCUGCCCAGUGAGUUUACUUUCUGUAGGGGAUGCUGAUUAGUACCCAGUUUAAGAAGGGUUCACUCACCAUAUCAGCUGGCUUUCCUCGGACCAUCCGUUCUCCUGGGGUUGUAGUGCUCUAUGGAUGUGGUCCAUGGACCCUCCUUGGUUACGCUGGGCUUAGGUGCGCGAGUUUGGACCGCAAAUGCUGUCCGAGGUUGUGGUCCUCAGUGUGCUGUGGGUGUCACAGGCAUGGCCCUCCUUUAAGAAGCUGCGUGUGUUACCGGGGGACAGCAGGGGUCUCUGGGAUCAGUCGCUUCCCUGACCUCACCUUACAGGUGGGGAAGAAAGGGCAUGAGUGGGUGCAUUUACCCAGGUGGCUGCAGGCAGUGCGCAGGCAGGCCUCCAGGUCACAGCAUCCUCAUCGCAGUGACUGAGUGUUAGCACAUUUCAGGGCCUUGUGGAAGCCGUGUCUGUCAUUCACCACUUGUCCACCUGUCUGUCCGUUAUGUUGCAUCUCCUGGUUUUCUUCAGACGUUGACUCCAGCCAUGUUGUGUGCAGCUCUCUCUCUCCCCUCUCUCCCUCUACCCCUCCCCGUCUCUCUGUAUCUACAUCUGAGGCAUAUAGAUUUACCUGUGUUGGGCUUGGGGGUGGCCGGGGCCUCCUGCCCAGGGAACACGGCCAGAGGUCAUGAAAACAUGUGACCCUCUGCAUUCUCAGCCUGUUCAACAGUGUGGCUGUUCUCCCUGGUGGUUCUACCACUGCCUUCCAUUCUGUUGCUAAGUUGGGGGACCUGCUUGCUUAGAUCUUUCUCCUCAAGACAGACCCAGAAAAAUUACCAGAGCUUCAGACUCCUGCUCUCACCUGAUAAACUUGCCCUUAAGUGCCAGCUAUGGGAGAGGGAUGCUCUUUGUAUCUUGCACAGGCAAGGUGUUUGGAGCCACUGCGGGUUGUCUAAGAAACAUGCCUGUGGAGGGCUGCGAGGAGGAGGGACUGAGGUUUCAGCACCAAUGAGAGAGAGCAGUGAGACCAUGCAAAUAGAAGUAACGAAGUGCUCAUCUUCAAAUAAAACAGUGUAGGUGAAAGAGGGAACAAGAAAUCAAAGCAUUUUCAGCAGAAGAGCUUCUGUUUAUAAUUUAACCCUGAAAUUGACAAGGCAGAUGCUAUCUUUACUUUGCUUCCUGUGUGGUUGGUUCUGUUCCAGAAGAAGACUUCCAUAAGGAAACAGGAGCAGGUUGUCUCUAAAGACCUCUGGAGUAGCUGCCUGUCAGCGUCCUUUGUUCUCCCAAGUAGACUCUGCAGGAGUCCCCAUGCUUGGUCUUGCCCCUCACAGUUUGUCAUCCACACGCUCCUCUCUGUGGGACAGGGCCACUUCCAUCAGCCUUGGUCACAGCUGUGGGCCCCUGGCCAGACAUCCACCUCCCACUGCACGCCAGCACACACAUCGUGUGUGAGUCUUCUCUGUGGCGGUAGUCACUUGGCUUGGAACUCCUUUGAUAGGGUACAGAGGACAUCUCCUCCACAUGGCCUGUGUCCCUGUGGGUCAGAAGCUACAACUUCUCAAGAAGAAAGGAAGAACCGUCAUUUAAACUGAGCCCAUCCCUGCCACCGGGAGACCCCAUGAGACAAGGAAAGACUCCUUUCUCCCCAGAAACACUUCUGUCUUGCAAACACUGCUGAACGAAGGCCUGCAGAUGGGUUCUGGAAGUCAGAACAUCUGGGAGAUACACAUCACAGAUGUGCUUCCCUUGUGCAGAUUCAACCUGAUGUGCUGGGACAACAGACAGACACCAGCACGUGUACGUAAGCAUGUGAGACUGGGCAUGGUAAGCAGUUUGUCCACAGUUCACCGAGGGAGCAGGUGCCCUGCAGGGAGCACGACAUGGGAGCCGUGACACCAAGGAUUCUUCCCUGGCCCAUCUCGGACCUCAGUGAGAGGGAAGGAUAGGUCUCUUCAUAAAGCAUGGCCUCUAGGUGAGUCAGUUCUCAUCUGCUGUUCUGAGCAACAGUGACGAUUCUGAGGUGGCCCAGCUGGCCUGAGGGCCUACACGGAGGCCUGUGUGACCAGAGAAGUGAUUGCCAAGCCGUGAUGGCCCAGGUCCUGUGGGAUGUGUGAGCCAUUAGAAGGGCGUUGGAUUUUGAUCCGGAAGAGAGCAGGUUCUAAAAGAGUGUGAACGUGACUUCCUCUGUAACAAGGGAGGAGCUGUGUGGAUCUCCUGUGACCAGGGGAAAAGGGAGGAGCUGGGUGGAUCCUCCAUGAUGAGGGAGGAGGGGAACCCAGUGGGUCUGGGGAGAACAGCGAGGUCAGGGAGCUCAUUCAGGUGCUGGCUCAGAGCACGGUGGUUGGAUUUGACUGGUUUGGAGGUCGACCUGAAAGGGUUUGCUGGGAGGUGAGAUGAAAGUAAGAGAGGAUGUGGUUGCAGAUGACCCCACGGUUCCCCACGCUCGCGGGAUGGAUGGUAUCGCUGCUUCAGAGAAGGUGGUCGGGGAGAGGCUCCGGCUUUGGAGAGACGUUGGGAACCCCGCCUUGGAUGUGCCCUGCGGGUCCACGCGAGAUCCAUGGACCAAAUUCUAAACCUGAGGGAUGUGUGCUGCUUGGAGCACAGGCAAGAAUGCAGAACUUUCUUUAGUGGGAAGUGCUCUGGGGCCCGAGACGUGCAGAGGCUGCCUCUUGAUGCUGGAGAGAGAGAGAGAGCACGAGCAGAGCAGACAGCGAGGAGGACAUAAGAUCUGAAGCAGGCUCUGUGAGCACAGAGCCCGAUGUAGGACUCGAACUCGAAAGCCAUGAGAUUAUGACCUGAGCUGAAGUCAGAUGCUCAACCGACUGAGUCCCCCGGGCAUCCCAAUUGCUCACACUAUUUCAGGUUUGGCCACUGGGUGCCCUUUCUGUUGGUGCCAGGGCCCCUCUGUGUGUGUGUGUGUGCUGGUCCUCCCAGGGGCCCGGCUCCUCUGACUGGAGCAGCCUCCCAAACCCAGAUCUGUGUGUGUGGUGUGCCCGUUGUUAAUUCUCUUCAAGUAGGUUGUAAGGCUGGACAAAUACCUGUUUUCAUUUACCCCCGUCUUUGUCAUUACCCGUCUUCUUCAUGUCUUUGUGUAGCUCUUUAUUUCUACCUUGUAUCAUGUUUUUUUCCAGAAGAACUUUCUUUAGCCCUUCUUAUACUGUGGCUUUUGUUUGUGUGAAAAAGUAUUAUUUCUCUUUGUGACAGAUGUUUUAACUAAGUAGAAUUUUGGAUGGACGGUUUUUUCUUUCCCUACUAUAAUGAUGUCAUUCCAUUGUCUUUUGUCCUGCAUAGUUUCUGUGGGAAAUCUGCUGUAAUUCCCAUUUUUGUUCCACUUGCUAGAAAUUCGUAGAACCCUCUGGAAUUAGCCAGUGCCAGUGAGAACAUUUAUCGAGUGCUUACUUGGAUCGGGUGCUUUGUUUCCCGUGACUGCUUGUGCGUUUCUCCCCAACCCCUUCAACAGGGAGGUGUUGCUGAUGGCAGUAAAGGUUAUAGGAAAGAAGCCGAGGGUUGUGGAGAUGAACAGGUCUGCUCAUGGCUGCUUCCAAGAGGCACGGGGCCUGGCUGCCUGACCCCAGAGCCUGAAUCCUAACCAGAGCACUCCAUUCAGACCAUGCAGAAGCUUGAGGAGCAGACUGAGCUCAUCCGCAUCUGGGUAAAAUGCCAUUUCCAUUCUCAGACGUGCUAGGGCAUUGCAGUGUGGGAGAUGGGCCUAUGCUGCAUUCCUGCUUAGCUUUUCACAGGCUCUGUGACUUUGCGUGUGUCCUGUGGCCUUGCUGGGUUUACCUUUUCACCUCUAAAAUGGGUGAGGGUGGCUGGCUGCCUGCCAUUUGCUCUGGGUUAGGAUUAAGUUGUGUGGCCUGUGGCACAUCAGCUGCAUAGCGCCUGGCGCUGCAGUCAGCCCAUGGAGGGUCUCUUUGUUGGGCUUUGCUCAGGGCACAUCAGUUGAAUCGGUGAAUUGAGUGUUUGCUCAAACCACAUCGGUUUCCCCAUUCACAGCCUAGAGUUGCAGCUUACAGUGCACACCCCAGUGUCCUGCCUCAGGCAACAUCCUCUGAUCGGCUCCUCCUGCUGUGCUUGCCUUUCUGGAGCAUGGCCCUAGCAGCGUCAUUUCAGAGCUCACUGAGUGGCUUUCUGUGGUUCCUUACUCAGAUACAGAGUGCUGCUACCCCAGAGCAGUGACCAUGGGCGGGCCCCCACCUUCCUCCUGCCUCGUACCUUCUGCCUGUGGUUCUGAGAACCUGCUUCGUGGUCAUACCAACCUCAGGGCUCCUGUGAAGUGUACUUCCUUUGAUUAAAACCUUACUUCCUAGAAUCAUCUAUAUUAAAAAACAACAACAAAACCCCAUAGACCUCAUUUAAUAGGAAAUACUUUAUAAACCAUAAAGCCCUGGGUAAGCAUUUGAUGUUUUCAUCUGUGCUCCUUGUGCCUGUCUCCUCCACAAACAUUUUUAAGUGCUUUCCCUGGGCUGAGCACCACACCGGGCCUGGGGCCCUGGUUCUUGGGGAGCUCCCAGUACCCCAGUGUCUGCAAGCAGAUUUCAUGGUCAUCCUUCACUACCGGGGAGGCAGUGUGCUUACUCUGGGGCUGUGAGUGGUGGGCAGGGCAGCCAUCCAAGGAGGGCCUUGGCAGAGGAGGGAAAAGGUGUGAGGCAAACAAGUGGCACCCGUGAGCCCUGGGGUCCCUGCGUGGGGGUUGUUGCUGGUGUCUGGGGUUUCCUUGUGGGGUCCCAGGGAAGCUAUGGGACAGUAACUUCUCGGGAAAUCAGUUGGUUGGGAGCACAUACCUUAAAAACUCUGCCUGUUUAUCAUUCAAGGCCUGAAUCUGUGGGCUCCCUCCUCCAUGAAGCCUGCCUAAGCCUCCCUCCUUGGAGGCCAGCGGUCUGGUUGCCUCUCUCUCCAUCCAGCCUGCAGCCAGUGUACCUAGGGCACCUGUUCGGUGACUUUGUGCAGGCUGUCCCUCCCCAGGUCUUUGGGAGCCUGCACUUUAUUAGGCAAGACCCACACGAACAUAGAUAGCUACACGAUUACUGGAUGACAGUAGUGAUAGAGAUUUUCCAAAGGAGAAGACCAGGCUUGUGUGGGCUUGUGUGAAUGUGUUUAGUAGACAGCGGGGCAUUCAGUGAGUCCCCCAGGCUUGCUGAGUCCCGUCCCCUCACUGCCGGAUGUCACCAACACCGAGCAGGUAGGGUUGUUGAAGAUGGAUGGCGCUCUGGCCGCGUGCAGCCCAGCGCAUGGCAUCUGGGUCAUGAUUGAUGAUGAAGGAAAAAUAGCAUGGUCAGUAGUUAAGUCUUGCCUUUUGUCUCAGUCAUCUCUCACUUCUAAGUCCCUUGAAGGGAAGCCCCUGUCUCUGUACCUGCUGCAGCCCCAGUCUUGGGGUGGAGAGGGGGAGCGUGGGGUGCCAAGCUAGGGGAUUGGAGGAGAGGACAGGCCACAGCAGCUGGACCAGGUUAGGUAUUAAUGUCUGCAUUCAGCUGACUGGCUGGACAGGACUGAGGUGGGUCAUCUACAUUGCAGAUCUCAUUGAAAAUAACGAAUACAGCAACUCCUGAACAAUUUUUGCAUAAGUUAGAAAUAUGUUUCAGAAUGUUCUAUCCAUGUGAGAUGGGGAUGACUGAGCCCCAGGGAAGGGUAAGUAGAGCAUUCUGGAAUAACCAAGGAAGAGUUUCGAAGGGGUUAUACUUGUAGUAUUUUAUUGAACCACAAAAUGUUAUUUAUAACCCAUGCCAGGGGCAAUUAAACUGAUUGAUGAUUAAGAAAGUCUAAUAGUUGAAUAAUAAGAUGCAGUUCUUGACAGCUAUUUUUUCUCAUUUUGGAAGCAUAUGAGUCUAAUAAGGGUGUGGAGGAUGCACUGUGGAAUAUAUUGUGGUGUAAUUAUGUGGCGGUGAUACAAUAUUCAGUGUAGUGUUAGGUGCUACAUUACUUACAAAAAUUAAAAUACCAAUUAUGGCUUUCUGAUUUAUUAUUGAGGUGGUGUGUUAAUUUUGACUUGCCCCAAGCAGGGUUAAUUAGUACAUAUUGACAUAUUUGAUUAAAAGUCCCCUACUGUUGAAUUGAAUAAGAAAGGUCAAACAAGUAACUUGUUUUCCCUGGCCACCCCGCGUGGUGUGAGAAUUCCAGCAACUUCCAUGGGCCUACCUGAAGGGUUUGCUUGGAUUGGUAGCUCCCUCCGUGCCCUGGGACCACUGAGGCCUGCCCUCUAUUGUUAAAGCGGCCCUUGCCUCUCUCCUUGGUGCGUGCCAGGGUUUUGUGUGGUGUUUCUCUUUAAGAACCACUUCUUAAUGUUUGUAAAAAGCAGACAUAUGGUUAAAAAAUGCUUUUUAAAAAAAGCAGAGAUGUUACAAAGUCGCAAACACAAUGACUAAUAAACUAAAAGUGUAGCUUUGUAAGUAAUGAAAAUGCAAAUUGAACCAAGAACGCAGUUCUAUUUUUGUCUAUCAAAUUAGCCACUAUUAAUAAGGCUAAUACUCGGUGCUUUCAGGUGAGGUGAGAUUGACACCCUGUAAUCUUCCAGUGGAACUUCUCUGGGAAGCACUUUGGUGCUCAUUGGAAGGCCUGUCAGAAGGCCGGUGCCACCUUGUCUGCAGGAAGUAGAGAGAUGCCGGGGAGACUGGGGUGUGGGAACUCAUGCCGUGGCGUUUGAUCCAGUAGGAGCUGUAGACGGCGCCGAUGCCCAGCCUUCAGGGGAGUUCCAACCAGUUGUGGGUCAGUGAUGUCCAUGCAGGCUUAAAUCUGAUUUCCUAAGAAAUGCUUUUCCUCUUUUAAUGUUUAUUUAUUUUUAGGAGAGAGAGACAGACAGAGCGUGAGCAGGGGAGGGGCAGAGAGAGAAGGAGACAGAAUCUGAAGCAGGCUCCAGUGAGCCCGAUGAGGGGCUCAAACUCAUGAACUUGAGAUCAUGACCUGAGCCGAAGUCAGAUGCUUAACUGACUGAGCCACCCAGAGCCCCAAGAAAUGCUUUCUCAAGAAGGAAAAGGUGACCAGGGUAUGAAUAAACCGAUAGGACAGAAAGCUUUAUAGGUAGUCUCAAUUCUGGGUUAUUAAAAAAAUGUGUGUACAUAUGAAUAUUAUGGACUAAAUUGUUUUCCUUCCCCAAAUUCAUCUGUUGGGCAUCUAAGCCCCAGAACGUCAGAAUGUGGCUAAAUUUGGAGAGGCGGUCUUUACAGAGACAAGGUUAAGCGAAGUCAUAGAGAGGCCCUAAUCCAGUAUGAAUCGGCCUUGUAAGGAGAGGAGGUCAGGACACAAACACAGAGAAAACCCUGUGAAGACGCAGGGAGAAGACGGACUCCUGCAAGCUGGGGAGGGACCAGCACUGGUCACUAUGGGACCUCUAAACCUGCAAGAUAAUGAAUGUCAUGUAAGCCACCUGGUCUGCAGGACUCUGCACAGUGGCCCUCGCAACCAAAUACAGUGACGUGUACCAAGGGGUCAGCAGUGCCUACGUGGCGUAUUGAUGGAUGCUUUGCUCUUCCUUUGCAUACUUUUCUGUGUCCACUGGAUUAUUUAUAAGAAUCAAGUAUUGUCACAAAAUCUUGUGUAUUGUCACAAAAGUGUUGUUAGGAAGGUUGCUUCCACAUCCGGAUCGCGAGCUGGAGUAAGCUCCUCUUCUGGAAGCCAGCCUGGUCACCCUUAAGGGGGACUUGCCCUGGGGUGUACGUCAUGUCUUCUCCAGCCCCAAGGCAGUCUGAUUCUCAGGGUGUGGUGUCAGGAAGGCACGUGGAGGCUGUUGUCCGCGGGCCAGGCAGGUGCUCUGUCUAGUGAGGUGGCGGCACAGCCACCAGAUGGUGAGCGCAGCCCAGUGUUGUGAGGGAGGGUCUGCCGGGCUCUGGUGGGUCAUCUCUCCCCUCCCCUGUCGUGUGAGGGCUUUAGUGGGGAACCACCAUGCAUGCUUGAGCUCUGGCUCUCUGGGAUCUGAGAUUUUCUGAGAUUUACAUCCUCUCUGUUGCCGAGGCUUGGAGCCAGACCCAGCCUGAACCAGGUCCCAGAAGGAUGCCCCGGGGGUUAGUCCGGAGGAGAAAAAGGAAGCCUGAGGAGGCAGGGCCACAGUGGUGGGGCCAGGAGGUGAAGCAGGGCAGUCAGGGGCUCUCUCUGACAUCUGGAGGGAAGCAUGAAAACUUCAUAGGAUGGUUGCGGGGGGACGGGGGGAGUGGUCUCCAGCUUCUAGCCAGCCAUGUGGCCAGUAUAGGCAUCAAACGCCGGGGUCUGUGGGACCCAUUGAGAGCGCCCCUCUUUGCCUGUGCAUAUGAUAGUUUAGAGAAAAUGAAGGCCUGGCAGUGGAGGCCACAGUCGCUCUGUGGGUACUGAUGUGGAGCCCUGGGGAGGCCGUCCUGGUGGAGGGUGGCACGCACCCAUACCUUGGCCGAGAGACCAGCUUGCCUCCACCAGAAAGGGACAGCUGUCCUGGUGAGGCGUGGGGCGGCAUCCCUGACAGAUGCUGGAGAUAGGUUCUCUGUAGAAGGAGCUCUGUGCCCAUCCCCUCACCAAAAGGCCCCCCACAGCUCCUGCAUUCCAGGUGGGAGACAGUGCUGUGACGUGGCAGAGCUGUGGGAAUGCCGGGACAUGAGCCCCCAGAGGUGGUGGCACAGUGUGUGGUGGCUCGUCAGCGGGUCCUGAGGGCACCGCCCAAAGGCCUUGCAGUUCCUUCAGUGUCCAUCCAUGCCUCGGGUCCCCUGGGGUGGCACAGAGCCAGAAACUUUAAACCCAGAUUCGGUCUUUCUGGUUCCCUUGUUGCGGGGGUCUGGGGGCUGGCAGAGCUUGCCACCCUGGCCCUCCGCAGCGCCCCUGGUGCCCUCGGUCCCACUGUGUCGUUGGGUGGGGGUGGGGCCCCGGCCGUGUCCUGCGGGUGGCACUCGUGCUGUCAGAGAGCUGUGAUUUAUGGGCAGUUGGAACUGUGCACGUGUGUUCACUCGGUGUGGCCCCUUCUCCUACCAUCAGGUCCCUGCGGGGCAUCCACCAUGAGCUCUUCGUGUGUCGGCAGUGCCACGUGCCCAGGCCCUUCCCUCGGGGUUCCAGGAAUACAGUGCCUCAUGGCCCCGUGCAGCCCCCUGCCCCUCCUUUGACUCCUCCCAGUGCAAGAGGAACAGGCACUCCUUUCUGGUGACCAGAACCCUCUCAUGCCCUGGCCGGGCUUCUCGUGCGUUUGGGCUCUUGCACGAACCCCACGGAGAAAAAAGAUGUUUUCCUUUGAGCUCCACCCUGGGUCACUUUUUCCAUCUGACUGGAGUGUGGAGCUUUGCUUUUCAUUAAGUAUGAAACAAGAUCUGUAUCGGCUGUGGCCCACUGAGGCAGCCCCACGAUGAGAACGUGUCCCGACUGUCCCCCGCUCCCCCCUCAACCCCCCAGCCCUCAGCCAGCAUUUUUCUGCUGCUUCUUGAACUGCAGGGCCUGGGGGUUGUGGCCUGCCCUUUCCAGGUCAUACAGUGAAACAGUAAAGGGAAAACGGCCCAGAAGCUAUGUGAGUGACAAGUGGGGCAUUGGCUGGGGCUCCCAUAUGUCGGUUUUGUCACAAUCUCUGUCCGCGGUCACCCUGCCAGAAGGGAGCGGACAGAUAGGAACCGGUGGUGGUGGGGAGGAGACGCCUCGCAAGGGGGGGCUCCUUGGACUCAGCCGCCUGGGGGAUGUGCACUGCCCUGGAGGAUGGGUGUGGGCCGGCACGGCCACCCCUCCCUGGUCUGCAAGGCCUGCAGGGGCCCAGGCUGUCCCCCUGUGGCCACACACAGGCCGGGGGCCUCUGAAGGGAGGGCCCACCACUUCACUCCCCUACCCCUGGCCUCUCUCUCUAGUGCUGCACCCGGGAGUUCACGUGACCCUGCUUCUGCGCUGGUCGGAGCUGACCAGGGCCCCCCUGUCCCCACACCCUCUUUUCUGAGCAUCCUGGCACUGUCACUGUGCUCACUUGUGCUUUGGUAUGUUUCUGUGUUAUUUUAGUUUUCUGACAUAUUUCAUGUCUUAGGUCCUUUUGAGCAUCAGCAUGGCCUUGGCCUUUUCCGAUUCCCUCAUUGUAUUGACCUGAGUCCAUGCGUGCCUUCGGAUUUCAGUUGGCUCUGUGAUCCUUAGAGAAGACUUGCGUUAUUUCGCCUUCUGGCUCUACCCCCAGGCACCAAAUGCCUCCGUGAUGUCCACAGUCUCCUUGCGCAGUUUUCUGCCCACACACAGAUCAUCGAGGGUGGUGUCAGAGGCUAAGACCUAGUUUUGUCUCCAGUGCCUGGAGAAGGCGAAUCCCAGUGGCAACUGGCUGCUGGGGACCGAGUAUAAAACAGGUCAGGCACCUCAGCUGCUACUUCCGAUUGAACCAGUUCUCUCCCUACUAUGACUGACAGGAGAGCCAGGUGGCCUGUGUCCUGCUCGUUGGCAGCAUAUGUCGCUAUGACAAAGGUUGAACGAGAUGCAGCAUUGGACCAGAAAACAGAAAUCUAUUUUCUCUUGGCAUCUUUAUGACACUUGGCUCCAGGGCCCUCCCACUGACCUGUGUGCAGGUGCAGGCACAGUGCCUGGUUAGUACCCUGUGCCCCCUGCUGAAAACAGCAGGAUGACCCUCUCCACCGAAGAAAAUAAAUGUUGUCAAAACAACAAAAAACUCACUCCCAGGGUUCCUAGCCAGAGAAGAAUCUCAUACGGUCAGCGGGAAAUGACCAGAAAGUGAUUCAACACAGAUACAGGCCUUUGAGGCUUUGCUGGGGGUGUUCGCCCCUUCACUUGCCCAGAAGCUAGUGCUGGUUGGGGUUGGUUCACCUCUUAUCCCAGGUAGUGUUAGUGCCGAGUCCUGCCCUCUUCUCUGCCCUGGAGAAAACACACUCACUUGUUACACUGGUCAGUACACAAGAACAGUCUCACCUUCAAGAAGCCGGUGAAGGAUUUCAGAAAACAUAGUGGAUGGCCAUCGGGCAUCACCUGAGUGGUGCGGACCCGUGCUUGGGCUCGCCCAUGACUGCACCCUGCUGAUCACCUGCAGACCACAGUGGGUGUCUGUGACAUCCUACCUUCACAGGGCAGUCAGAUCUUUAGGUCUGAACCACCCGCUGUUAGGCCCAGCCACUGAGCUUGUACCCACGUGACACAAAUACAGAAACUGUGUGUCGGAAGUCACUGGAUUGCCCCAGGGUUUGUAACAUCCGGUGCUGCGUCCUCCAUCAUGCGUCUUACGAUCCAGGUACAGACAGGACAAAGAAGCCCAAAAGCCAUUUCUCAGGCAGUGUGGUUGGUGGGGACCCAGAAGACUGUGAACCCAGCCCCUCGGUCAGCAACAGUUUCGCAUCACAGAGGCUCUGCUGGCAGCAGGUGGGCUUGCUCAGUUCACGGAGGGCUAAUGGUGCUGGGGGUGUGGGCACAGUCGUCCCUCUGCAAUGGCCAGGAACAAGUGUGUGCCCCACAGAGUUUGCUGGUCAGAUGGGGUGACUGUAUGGGGACCGUGACAUGUUAACCCAGCCAUAGUAAUGUGGGUCGCUUAGUCUCUUGCGGGUUUUCCACAGUGACUGGGCUCCUGCAUGUUUGGUGAGCCGCCUGGGUGGAGCACACAUGCCCGAGCCCGGUGGGCAGCCUGGAAGAGGUGCUCUGCCAUGUAGUUCUGCCCGUGUGGAGUGUGCUUUCCUGCAGGAAGACACAGGUGUCUGAACCCCAACCAGGGAGAGCCCUUCCUGGGGUGAGGAGAACCCUCCUCCUGCUUUGUGUGGCCACCAAUGGGGACCAAGUGAAUGAAGAAUGACUUCAAGGAACAGUCACAAAGACACUUGCGGACACAAAGUCAUACUUCACCACAAAAUACAGAAAUGCACAUUAAGCCUCAUUCUCUUGAGUUGUUUGUGCCUUUGCGGUGAGUGGAGAUGGGAGAGAUUGGUGAGGACAGUGGUCUUAGAAGACACGGGCUGUAGCAUGAAUCGUGAGCCCUCCUUGAAAGUGUUCCUCAGUAUCUGUCAGGAGCCCUAAAAUGCCCUUACUCUUUACCUGCCAAUUUCAUUUGAGAUGUUUAUCUCGAGGAGCUGAUUCUCAACGUAGAUCACAUCCUUCCUGAAUGAAGGACGCUUAUGGGGCAUUCCUUGUUGUAGGAAGGGCCUGCGCGAGUAGGGCUGUGGCCCACAGUUGGUUCCACAGCCUCCUGCACACCUUCCUAAAGCAUGGCUCCAAGUAGUGUCCACAAAUUGGAAAAUUCUCAUCACAAAUGUCAGAUCUCAAUAGCAUACAAAUUUAUCUUUACAGGACAACUGUAGUCCCGUAAAAGCUGAGCAGAAAGUAUGCGCAGAAAAGAUUGGAACGCAGCCCUGAGCCCUGAUGUUCCUGAGGCCUGGGUGCUCGUGGUGCGGCCACCAUGUGGUGGUGUCCCGGCCAAGUUUGUUGGCUCUGAAUGGAACAGCCACGGACCCUCAGUUCCCAGUGUGCUUUCGGUUUACCUUGAGGGAAAUAGAAACCUCCUGGGACACAAUGUGCUCUGUGGGCUCCAGCAGGAGGGGCCGUUGAGACCCCACUGUGAUGCCAGAUCUUCGGGACUGGAGUGUGGGCAGCAGUGGUUGCUGGUAGAGGGGGGAGUGGCCCCCCCUACCCCCCCCCCCACUGUCAGCUGUCGAUUUCCUGGCAGGUGCCGAGGCGUUGCCUUGUGCUGUGGGUUGGAGCCCUGGCUCAGUGGCACCUGUGUAGGAAGGCCUGGCAGCCUGGGACACCCACUCUGUCUGCAGGCUUCUCAGGGCAGGGAGGGGGCCCGCAGAGCUGUGUGUACAUCAGCCGGCUGUCGCUUAGCAAGGGGUUUCUUUGUUGGCCUUUUCCAUAGUCGUGCCUUCUCAGUGUGCAGCAGCUGCACUGGCCCUCCUGACUCUGGUGACAUGUAGCAUUCAUGGCGGCCAUCAGCCAGGGAAGGGAAGGGCCCCAUAUUUUAAAUGAAGUUGGCAUGUUCUUUUCAGGGGGACAUGUUUCUUUUUUACCGACAUUUGGAGCCACACAGUGGAUACAGUUCUUUACAGCAGGAGUAGGUUUCAGAAAAAGCAAGGAAGUGUCCCAUUUUGCUCUGAUCUUGUGGUCCAGUGCACAGACCACGUGUCCAGAUUUUGUCAGUGCCACAGGCCCUUUCCAUGGUAGUGUUCCACCAGUUGGGAUAGUUACAGUGUAAGCAGUAUUUUACUCCCCAUUUAUGGUUCAUCUGCUGGCUGUAAUACAGAGGGAAGAAUGUGCUGAAAUGUAUUAAUUCCUGAUUGAUGGGCUGCCAGGGCAUUGCCAGGGCUGCUGAAAUCGUGGCUUGCCAGCCUGGCUCCUGGCAAGGCCGUGCCUGGGGAGUGACCACAGACAGCCUGUACACAGGCGUAUGCGAAUUGCUGCAGAGGCCAUGGCCAUAAACCUCAUUUUAGUCUUUGUGCGUGAAACCCAGAAGCUGGGCACUGGGGAGGGCCACACCCCAGUCUAGCUGUGAGCUGGGUCAGAGGACUCCCAACUGGGGUGUAAGUAGCAUGAAGACAUGAGUGGGCUUUGGGAGUUGAUGUGUCUGAAUGACUGAUCGAGGACCAAGAAUGGAGAGUGAAAGCAGCUUAGUCUUUUGUAAAUGGCCCCAGCCGGCAUUGCCUUGUUGGAGCUGUCAGUGAGAGCUGGAGUGUCCAUCAGAGCAGCAAACUCUUCCAGUUAGCCGGUACUUUCAGAUCCUACAUCAUCUCCACAACAAAGGUAUUUGGAACAUGGCUUUCUGCAAGUGAAUUUCUUGGCUUUUCGCUGUGUUAUUACUGGUAAAGUGUGAUGGCAUCUUGUGCAAGUAACCUCCCAUUUCACCAUCCAACUCGGGGGGCACAUGGGUGGCCUGCUGGUUCUCAUUUAGCACCAGGACUCGCGCCUUCAAGCCCAGCCCCCCGCCAGACUGUGAGCCAUGCAUGUGAGGGCCGGGCCAUAUUCCGCCGCAUCCCACUGCUCCCCUCACAUGCCUGGCACACCAUCUGGGCUCAGUGGAGCUCGUGGCUUCUCAAGGGCUCUGACAUCUUCUGUCAGGUGGUUUUUCAGAACCCAUUUAUCGUUUCCUUCACAGACGAUCUGUUGCCCAUUACUGGUAUCGCAGUGGGUAUUUUAAACGUUGACAGUUGACCAGUUUAUAAAACAGGUGAAUGCUGUACCUCAUUAUAUGUUUUUGAAUGUGUUUAUGGCUAGUGCUGUUGACCAUUCUUUAUGUUUUGAACUGAUUUACUUUCAUAAGUAACUUUCUUGGGUAGUUUUCAGCAGGCUUAUAUAUAUUUUCUCAUUGCACAGUAAUUUUUGGUAGAGUUUUCACAAAUGCAGAUGUUUCCCCAAUUUGUUUUACUUUCUAAUUCUUUUCCUACUUGACACCAUUUAAAAUUUGUAUAUGGUGAUGUAGACCAGUUUUCCUUAUGUCCCGGACUUUUCCUUGGGAGGAUUUUUCUCACCUGUGCACACGAGCAGUCAGGAGUCUCUGGGGCUGACACUGCAAUCUGGCUGUCAUCAUCACCCUGGGUGAGAUGUCUGCUCAUGUUUGGGUGACAUUUCAGCAUGGGGAGCACCCCACAUGCACCCCUUGACCCCCCUGGAGGUCGUGCACCCACACUUUCAGGAAUGUGCAGUCUUGUGAUGGUUAAUCUUUCUUUCCAUUUGGCUAUAUUAUUAAUAGUUUGAGUGAGACAGCAUUUUGCUGAUUGAUUUAAAGACCCAUUUAUCCUUCGAGGAAUUAUUUUUGACUUAAUUAGGUUAAAGGGAGUAAAUCAGUUUAAUGGAUUGAUUUAUAAUCAGUUUGUGCUUUCAGAUUAUCAUGACUCAGGCAAGCUUACUGUCUGUAAAAAUGUCUGCCAUCUGCCUUCUGAAGGAUGGGAGUCUUUAUGGUCCCCUGAUGGCAACACAGCCCACGAAAGAAGGUAGCCUGCCCCUUUCUACUUGUGUUUCUUUGUGUCCCUAAAUGCUGUGACUGUAUGUGACUGAGCGCUUUCGUCCUGUGACCUGACGAGAGGUCCCCAGCACCUCUGGUGGCCACUGUGGGCUCUGAGGACACUGGGCCCCGGGGUCCUGGACCCUCACCUGUGUGUAUGUGGAGGGCGCGAGCAUGCAGCAUGGUUGGCUGUCUGUCCUCCCCCCCCUCCCUCUUCCUGGCUCCGCACCACUUCCCUGUGGACAUCGGCAGCCUGUGUGCUCCUCAGACACUAACUGCCCUCAUGGUCCUGGUCAGUGCCCCUCCUGUCCUGGUGCGUACGUUCUACUGUGGGGAGGCAGCACCGAGGCCGCGUCACUGAGCCCUCUGAGUGGCCUCCCAGUGAGCUGAGCACCUCAGCCAGGCUCCCUUCUCUCCCCAGAGCUCCAGGGGACCGGCUGUUCCUCUGAAUGGGGACACAGAUGACUUCAUACACUCAGCAGGCAUCUGUGAAAUGUCCUCUGUGUGCUGCGUCCUGGGUGUACAGUGAUGGAUUAGCGUCCUUUGUUGGGGAAGUCUUACCAGCUCUGGGCUCAGAGGCGCUACAUCACCAUGCGGCCAUGGCAGAGAGCCUACAGAUCGGGGCCUCUUACCCCAAGAGCACAAGGGCUCCUGCUCCCUCCUGGCAUGCCUGCUUAGAUGUGCGCUCCCCCAGGGCCCCUGGGUCCAAGCCCUGCAACAUCCAAAACAAAGCACUGCAACAGGAACACCUAGAUCUACUGAUUUCACUAGAUAAAAACUCCCAUGUCAAUCAUGUUAGGAUGUCCCUGAAAGGGGACGGCCAUCUCGCCAGCACGACGGAAGAAACUGAAGGGUAACCAAUCACCGAGCAACAGCACAACCUGGCACGAAAGAAAGACCCACCUGAACCUAAACCCGGAACUGCUGCAGCUAAAAAACCCUACCCCACCAUACCCAGGCAUGACUUCCCCGACUCCUCUCACUCCCUGAGUCACGGAACCUUACCCAGAACCUUAGUACCCAAUAAAGCCUUAAACUGCAAAAAAAUUCUUUUUGACUCUAACUCCUAUCUUUACCCUUCCCAACUCCUGACACUAACAUUUGGUGUCGAAACCUGGGAGAGGUGGUAGCUCUCCUCCCUCGGUUGAACCCCCCCCUCCUCACCAAGCCAGAUGCCAACCACCCUACUCCCAAGAGCCUACAGGAGCUGGUAAGUAGGACAGACCCCUCCUUCCCCCCUCCAACUAUGGCUGACACCCAGGAGAGACGUCUUGCAAGUCAGUCUCCUCUCCCCCGCAUGCUGUAAGGCCCACACGCGGAAAGGCCCGCACGCCAAUAGGCCCCUUAUUGCAACGCGAGGGACGCCUCGCCUUGCCACACCAAUGGGGAGUAACGAGUCUAAACCGACUGCAUCUCUUACCCCCCUCCAAAGUCUGUUAAACUUCCAGCUCCUGGGCUUACAAGGCGAACUUCGUGGUAACCGACUUGUCCGCCUUUGCACUGUAGUCUGGCCUCAAAACAAAUUAGAUAAUGAUUUUCAAUGGCCGCCUGAGGGGUUUUUACAAUACCAAAUCUUAACCAAUCUGGACAACUUCUGCCAUCAUCUGGGAAAAUGGGGAUAAAUACCCUACAUUAUGGCCUUUUGGGACCUCAGGUCUCGCCCCCACGUUCCUCCCGCCCCUCUGAAUGUGUGCUCCUUAUCCGCCCACAACCCCCUAAUGACCCCAGCUCACCAACUUCCCCGAUCUCCGACCCGUUAGAGGAUCUAGCCACGCCACCCACCAGCCCUCGCCCCCCUCCACACUCCAAACCUCCAGCCAUCCCGCUCGCUUCCCAUAUCAUCCCAAACUUGUGCUCAGGCCCCACCCAGUGAACAGACCCCAGUGGCCAUCUUACCUCUCGUGAGGUAGCAGGACCUGAAGGCCUGGCUCACGUUCAUGUCCCCUUCUCCCUCCAAGACUUGUCCGCAAUUGAAAAGCAACUAGGGUCAUUCUCAGCAGACCCCACGCAAUAAAUUAAGGAAUUCCAAUACCUCACCCAAGCCUACAGUCUCACAUGGCAAGACAUUCAUGUGAUCCUCAAAUCUACCCUCACCCCUGAGGAGAGGGAGCGCAUCCGGGCCGCAGCCAGAGAGCAUGCAGACCAAACCCACAUGACUGACCCACUAUGCCCGUAGGUGCCGAUGCUGUCCCGGUGGCCGAUCCCAAUUGGAACGACCAACACGCAGGCAAUGGUCACCGGCGCCAGGACCAGAUGAUCCAAUGCCUACUAGCAGGCAUGAGGGCAACCUCAAACAAAUCAGUAAAUUUUAACAAACUUCAAGAAAUAAUACAAGACCCCCAUGAAAACCCCGCAACCUUCCUUAGCUGGCUCACAGAGGCACUUACUCAAUGUACCAGACUAGACCCUACCAUCCCUGCCAGGGCCACGGUAUUGGCCACCUAUUUUAUUUCCCAAUCAGCCCCUGAUAUUCGAAAAAAACUAAAAAGGGCCGAAGACGGCCCUCAAACCCCUAUGGUUGACCUGGUAAAGAUGGCUUUUAAAGUUUUUUUUUUUUUCAAUAUAUGAAAUUUAUUGUCAAAUUGGUUUCCAUACAACACCCAGUGCUCAUCCCAAAAGGUGCCCUCCUCAGUACCCAUCAUCCA
Long non-coding RNA from Felis catus (domestic cat), 19295 nucleotides. RefSeq lists it as uncharacterized. NCBI's taxonomy places the organism in Eukaryota, Metazoa, Chordata, Mammalia, Carnivora, Felidae. The transcript has 4 exons. The record is from RefSeq and is a predicted model, not a curated record.